CCUACGGGAGGCAGCAGUGGGGAAUAUUGCACAAUGGGGGAAACCCUGAUGCAGCAACGCCGCGUGAGUGAAGAAGGUUUUCGGUAUGUAAAGUCCUAUCAGUAGGGAAGAUGAUGACGGUAUCUGACCAAUAAGCCCCGGCUAACUACGUGCCAGCAGCCGCGGUAAUACGUAGGGGGCAAGCGUUACUCGGAUUUACUGGGCGUAAAGGGUGCGCAGGCGGCAGUGUAAGUCUGAUGUGAAAUCCUGGGGCCUAACUCCAGAACUGCACUGGAAACUGUGCGGCUAGAGUGCGGGAGAGGCAGGCGGAAUUCGUGGUGUAGGGGUAAAAUGCGUAGAUAUUAAGAGGAACACCAAUGGCGAAGGCGACCUGCUGGAAAAUUACUGACGUUGAGGCACGAAAGCGUGGGGAGCAAACAGGAUUAGAUACCCGAGUAGUC
Molecule: ribosomal RNA, 440 nt
Filed under: uncultured bacterium
Lineage: Bacteria
Description: partial 16S ribosomal RNA
Rfam family: Bacterial small subunit ribosomal RNA
Source: RNAcentral